This 407-nucleotide ribosomal RNA is filed under the name uncultured bacterium. RNAcentral's name for it is "partial 16S ribosomal RNA". It matches the Rfam family "Bacterial small subunit ribosomal RNA", at positions 30 to 526 of the family's 1533-position model. The record is from RNAcentral.
AUUGAACGCUGGCGGCAGGCCUAACACAUGCAAGUCGAGCGGAGCGGCGGACGGGUGAGUAAUGCCUAGGAAUCUGCCUGGCAGUGGGGGAUAACGUCCGGAAACGGGCGCUAAUACCGCAUACUAUCAGAUGAGCCUAGGUCGGAUAAGCUAGUUGGUGGGGUAAAGGCCUACCAAGGCGACGAUCCGUAGCUGGUAUGAGAGGAUGAUCAGUCACACUGGAACUGAGACACGGUCCAGACUCCUACGGGAGGCAGCAGUGGGGAAUAUUGGGCAAUGGGCGAAAGCCUGAUGCAGCCAUGCCGCGUGUGUGAAGAAGGUCUUCGGAUUGUAAAGCACUGUAAGUUGGGAGGCGUUACCUACAGAAUAAGCACCGGCUAACUUCGUGCCAGCCGCCGCGGUAAUUC